This 775-nucleotide ribosomal RNA is filed under the name uncultured Neocallimastigales. RNAcentral's name for it is "partial large subunit ribosomal RNA". It matches the Rfam family "Eukaryotic large subunit ribosomal RNA", at positions 22 to 645 of the family's 3401-position model. Lineage: Eukaryota; Fungi; Neocallimastigomycota; Neocallimastigomycetes; Neocallimastigales. The record is from RNAcentral.
AUAUCAGUCAUGCAUAGCAUAUCAAUAAGCGGAGGAAAAGAAACUAACAAGGAUUCCCUUAGUAACGGCGAGUGAAGCGGGAAGAGCUCAAAUUUGAAAUCUUCAAGGUUCUACCUUGACGAAUUGUAGUUUAUAGAAGUGUUUUCUGUUAGUGGAGUGGCAAAAGUUCUUUGGAAUAGGACAUCAUAGAGGGUGAGAAUCCCGUAUUUGGUCAUUCCUCCUAGCGUUGUGAUACACUUUCAACGAGUCGGAUUGUUUGGGAAUGCAGUCCAAAAUGGGUGGUAAAUUUCAUCUAAAGCUAAAUAUUGGCGAGAGACCGAUAGCGAACAAGUACCGUGAGGGAAAGAUGAAAAGAACUUUGAAAAGAGAGUUAAACAGUACGUGAGAUUGUCAAAAGGGAAGCGUUUGACACCAGUGUUGUUUUUCCGAAAAUCAAUUACGAAUGUUUUAUUUUUGAGGAGUUAUGACUUCAUCGGCUUGCUCCUUUCUUUAUGAAACUUUCUUAAUGCACUUUUCGGCUAACAAGUCAACAUCAAUUUCUUUUGUUGUAAAAGGGUAUGAGGAAGGUGGCUUUCUUUUCGGAGAAAGUGUUUAUAGCCUUGUGCCUCUGCAAUCAGGAGAGAUUGAGGUCUGCAGCGUAGAUCCUUCGGGGUUAGAUACGUUUGUGCUAAGUUAUAGCUUUUCAUAGACAACUUGUUGACUAUGUUUAGUCUUGUAGCUUACUCGCUGACGCUAUUUUACCUACGCUUAGGAUGUUGAUCUCUCACAGUCGAGC